UCCCGCCGGACCUGAGCGACCCGGUCGGGUCGGGGCGCACGCGCGGAAGCCGCGCUCGGCUCCCGGCGGUCCGCAGAGGAGCCGCACCCGAGCAGCCCGGCCCCGGCCUCGCCGCGCAGAGCCUUACCCGAAGCCUCGUCCUGCGACAGGUGGUCCUGCGGACGCAGCCCUGCCGCCCGCCCCACGAUGUUCAGCCCCGGGGCGGCUGGUCCUGCCCUCCUUACCCCCGAGCUCCCAGAAGCCCGCGCCAGCUCAGGCUCACCCUGGCGUGGACCGCCGCACAAACCUCAAGGGAGCCAGGAAAGCGGGGAGAGCCGGCGCGGCCCUGGGCGGACGGACGGGCGCGCGAACCAAUGGGAGGCAGGGACCCUGCGGGGGGCGGUGCCUCGAGCACCUUCCUCCUUUCGGUUGGUUUCCUCCUGGUUAACUGUUCGGGGGCCGCGCGCGCGCCCCGAGUGGACGCGACCCGGAGACCUCGGAGAGCCUAGCAGAGUUGGAGGACUUUAGAGGCAGGCAGCUCUGAGGAAGAACCGAGUAUUCCUUAACGCGGUCCUUCCCUCGGCGCACUCCCGGCUUUGGCUUGGGGAGGGGGGUGGCGAGGCAGGGCUGCGAGUUCGCGCGAGGGCGCGCUCUGCGCAGGCGCGAGCGGGGUGUCGGCGGGUACCAGUCUCGGAAUCCAAGGAGGUUAGAGAAACUGCUGGGAUUGGGUCCAUCCUGAAGGCCCUUGGAAGAAGGGAGAGGAUGGAGGAGAGAUUUAAGAGCUGGAUACAAGGGGUACAAGUAAUCAAAGUAACCCAAGAUUCACCUGCUUUCCAAUAUCCAUUAAUACAUGCUCAGUUGUGGCUCCAGGGGCCACCACCAAAUGACAGUAAGGACACAGGAGAGAAGUACCUGCCCAGCACACCCAGGAACAUGAUGGACAAAUGCCAGACUCAUGAAAAUGCAGCAGAAGAAACAAAGAAAUGGCAACUUGGGACAGGGCGAGAUGGACAGAGAGGAGGACAGAAAGCGUGGAGGAAAUUGUGUACUAUAGCCAACAUUAAAGACUGACAUCACCAC
Molecule: long non-coding RNA, 1059 nt
Filed under: Heterocephalus glaber (naked mole-rat)
Lineage: Eukaryota; Metazoa; Chordata; Mammalia; Rodentia; Bathyergidae
Description: lncRNA (ENSHGLG00000041624.1)
Source: RNAcentral